UACGGAGGGUGCAAGCGUUAUCCGGAUUCACUGGGUUUAAAGGGUGCGUAGGCGGGUUGGUAAGUCCGUGGUGAAAUCCCCAAGCUUAACUUGGGAACUGCCGUGGAUACUAUCAAUCUUGAAUAUCGUGGAGGUAAGCGGAAUAUGUCAUGUAGCGGUGAAAUGCUUAGAUAUGACAUAGAACACCAAUUGCGAAGGCAGCUGGCUACACGAAUAUUGACACUGAUGCACGAAAGCGUGGGGAUCAAACAGG
RNAcentral lists this ribosomal RNA (253 nucleotides) under uncultured bacterium. RNAcentral's name for it is "partial 16S ribosomal RNA". It matches the Rfam family "Bacterial small subunit ribosomal RNA", at positions 524 to 776 of the family's 1533-position model. The record is from RNAcentral.